Cloeon dipterum is the source of this 1693-nucleotide long non-coding RNA. RefSeq lists it as uncharacterized. The transcript is spliced from 2 exons. NCBI's taxonomy places the organism in Eukaryota, Metazoa, Arthropoda, Insecta, Ephemeroptera, Baetidae. The record is from RefSeq and is a predicted model, not a curated record.
GCAAAAGAAGCCUCUCAAGGGUUUGAAAGAGAGUAAAUUCCACGAGACAUUGAAUUUUACAUUUGGGUUGAAUUGUGGAUUGGACGAUUUUUUCAACAUUAGGCGCAUUAUAGAUGGGUUUGAAACCAAUUUUGACGUUGUUCCUAAAAUGACCCUUGAGCAAUUAUUUAGGAAAUUUACUGUCCAUAAACUAUUAUUUCUGUGUAAUGCAUAGGCCAAAUUUUGAAAAUAUAUAUAGCUUCUUUUGAGACCAGAAAAUUGUCUCUCAAGUAAAUCAAAUUGAAGUGAUUCACAUUUAAAAAUCAUCCUUUCUCUGAAACACUCAGGAAGUCUUAUGUUAAACCAUCUCUGCAAUUAAAGCAGUUGAAUGAUAUUGCGAGGAAAACACACUUGGGAAUUUAAUUGUUUUGGUUUUAUUUUCAUAAGUUUUCAAUAAUAAUAAUGCAUUUUAGAAUUUCACAAUUAAUACAGGGUCACUGCAGUUCUUUAAAUUAAUUCUUUCAAUAAUGACUUUCUAUACUUAUCAUUAUUAACGCAAGACCUCAAAAUUGAUGAGUAAAUUAAUUUUGACCGAAGGCUGUCAGCUUCAUAAAUAUUUUGUUGAUCAAUAACCAUGGGUUUGAGAAACUGAAUGUAUAACAAUAAUUCUAUUUAGAUAUUCUCAUCUUUAGCAUUAAUCAAUCGUAUGCAGUUUUUGACACGUUACACAUAUGUUUCAUAAUUCUGGGCCUUUUUAGGCACGUAAAUAUUUCAUGAGUUUCAAAUCUUAAGAGUAAAAGAGAUUGAUCUUGUUCUUGAUAUACAUCCUGCAGAUUGGACAGUGUUUCACCUGCGCAGAACAGGUCUUGCAACACACGGUGUGGCCACAGGGCACAAAUGCCACAUCUCUCUCGUCAUUGAGACAAAUGCAGCACUCCUGAAUCUCCUUGGUGCGUUUUCCCUUCCGCUUGUGGUUCAUUUCCACACUCUCAACAGCAUCACUCCACUCAGGACGGCCCUUGAAGACAUUCAUCAUAUUCUGGCCGAACGUCACAUGCAUGUUCUUCAACACUGCAGCUGCAGAACAAACAUUAUUACACUGGGACGUGGCUUCAAGAGCAGCAGUGCUUGUUGCCGUCUCAAUUUUUGGCUUCUUGGGAGCAGGAGGAAGAGGGAUAGCUUUUGAAGGGAUGGCUUUUGAAAGGUUGGCUUGCAAAGGGAGUGCGAUGGCUUGUGCAGGCCCUGAUGACAAGUCAAUGAGAGGAGGUUCUGAAUCGACCAAAUCAGUUGAAUUGGUUGCCGGCACAACAUCCAAUACUGGAAAGGAGAAAAAUGACCAUUGUAUAUUUUGUUGGACGUAGAAAUGGCUCAAAUCAUAUAAAAUGAUUUUAAUUUUAACGCAUUUAUUUUAUAUUAAUUUGUAUGUAGUAUCCUAUUUAGCUUCUUCAAAGAGGAAAAAAGGUAAAGAGGAUCUGUGAAAAAAUUUCAACAGAAUAUUACAAAAGAAAAAGAACACUGACAAGGAAAUUCUUAAGGAUGUGUGCACAAAGAUCAGCAUGUUUCUGCAAAAAACCCAAUGCGUUGCAACAAACUGUCUGUUGCGGAUUUUACUGCAAAUUUGCGCAUUUUUCGAAAACAUGUAUUUUUAUUGAAGAUCAAAAAUUGUCAUUAUGGAUAAUCAAAUAAAAGGGAUUUUUAAAAAGGCAGUUAAAAA